CAGCACCUCAAGUGGUCAGGAUGAUUAUUGGGCCUAAAGCAUCCGUAGCCGGCUCUAAGUUUUCGGUUAAAUCUGUACGCUCAACGUACAGGCUGCCGGGAAUACUGCAGCGCUAGGGAGUGGGAGAGGUAGACGGUACUCGGUAGGAAGGGGUAAAAUCCUUUGAUCUAUUGAUGACCACCUGUGGCGAAGGCGGUCUACCAGAACACGUCCGACGGUGAGGGAUGAAAGCUGGGGGAGCAAACCGGAUUAGAUACCCGAGUAGUCC
Molecule: ribosomal RNA, 268 nt
Filed under: uncultured archaeon
Lineage: Archaea
Description: partial 16S ribosomal RNA
Rfam family: Archaeal small subunit ribosomal RNA
Source: RNAcentral